AGCGAACGCUGGCGGCAGGCUUAACACAUGCAAGUCGAGCGGGCAUCCUUGUGGUGUCAGCGGCAGACGGGAGAGUAACGCGUGGGAACGUGCCCUUCGGUUCGGAAUAACUCAGGGAAACUUGAGCUAAUACCGGAUACGUGCGAGAGCAGAAAGGUUUAUCUGCCGAAGGAUCGGCCCGCGUCUGAUUAGCUAGUUGGUGAGGUUACGGCUCACCAAGGCGACGAUCAGUAGCUGGUCUGAGAGGAUGAUCAGCCACACUGGGACUGAGACACGGCCCAGACUCCUACGGGAGGCAGCAGUGGGGAAUAUUGGACAAUGGGGGCAACCCUGAUCCAGCCAUGCCGCGUGAGUGAUGACGGCCUUAGGGUUGUAAAGCUCUUUUCUCCGGGACGAUAAUGACGGUACCGGAGGAAUAAGCCCCGGCUAACUUCGUG
This 437-nucleotide ribosomal RNA is filed under the name uncultured bacterium. Its description in RNAcentral is "partial 16S ribosomal RNA". It matches the Rfam family "Bacterial small subunit ribosomal RNA", at positions 29 to 507 of the family's 1533-position model. The record is from RNAcentral.